Molecule: ribosomal RNA, 470 nt
Filed under: uncultured bacterium
Lineage: Bacteria
Description: bacterial SSU rRNA
Rfam family: Bacterial small subunit ribosomal RNA
Source: RNAcentral
ACUCCUACGGGAGGCAGCAGUAAGGAAUAUUGGACAAUGGGCGCAAGCCUGAUCCAGCCAUCCCGCGUGCAGGAUGACUGCCCUAUGGGUUGUAAACUGCUUUUAUGUGAGAAGAACCGCCUGGAUUUAUCUGGGUUUGACGGUAUCACAGGAAUAAGCACCGGCUAACUCCGUGCCAGCAGCCGCGGUAAUACGGAGGGUGCAAGCGUUAUCCGGAAUCACUGGGUUUAAAGGGUGCGUAGGCGGCCUUAUAAGUCAGAGGUGAAAGUUUGCAGCUUAACUGUAAAAUUGCCUUUGAUACUGUUGGGCUUGAAUUAGGUUGAGGUUAGCGGAAUGAGUCAUGUAGCGGUGAAAUGCAUAGAUAUGACUUAGAACACCAAUUGCGAAGGCAGCUAGCUAGACCUACAUUGACGCUGAGGCACGAAAAGCGUGGGGAGCGAAACAGGAUUAGAUACCCUGGUAGGAUAGCG